GAUUCUCGUGCCUAGGCCUCCCGAGUAGCUGGGAUUACAGGCACCUGAGAAUGAAUAGAGCUCCUCUGCUCUCUCGUUAGCCCCAUCCCAAAGGCUGAGCCUCUACUGUUUGGGAACUAUCAAGAGAAGACACAGCUAUCAAGCCAGGAGCCCUCAUCGAGCCUCAUUCUCAGCCACAUCGUAAGGAUUUAGAGGCCCUAAGCACUGACGACGCUGUGGUGCCACAAAAAUAGACAAGCAGGGCAUGUGCGCUGAAGCUGGAAGAGGCUUCUUCCAUAUUUUCAUUGCAAAAUCAGAACUUUGACCCGCUUUGCAGAUAACCCUGCAUUUUACCGAGAUGUCAAAGCAGGAAGUGCUUGGCUGGAACAUCUGCCGACAGCCUCAUCUCUUUCUGCAAGAUCAUGAUGUUCUGCAUGCUCCUGUGGCCUCUUAUUUCACGUUGCUUUUGCUUUAUUUUUAUUUUUUUCCAUGUUUCCUCCUGGCAAGCUCUCCCUGCAAAUUUUGAAACAACUUUAAAGAUGAAUAAAAAGCAGCUCAGCAAGUGAAUCCCAGAUCCCGGUAAGAGAGUGUCUCCCCCAACUCACAUAGUGAGUGCACAUCAUCCCCAGAACCACCAUGAGAGUGAGCCUGGUAGCGGGUAGCACCCUGCCUGUGACGAAGCCAGCACACUAUGACGAGCAGCAGCUUCUAGACCCAUGGACCACGGGCACUGCCAACGCUCUCCCUCCGGGGACUCCUCCUGCCUCCCAUACAGGGCCAAACUCCGACGCCCACGAGCUCGCUCAGAAUUGGCUCAGGCUGCAAUCACUUCUCUUCUCCUACCUCCACACCAUUCCCUGAUGGUGGACAGCUUCUCCUUUGAGAACCACACCUGCCUUUUCAGACAAAAGGAGACACCACCCACCCUCCUGCUGAGGGCUGCUCCCCUGGGGCCUUCUCAGCACACCUCUCUCUCUCUAGGUCAAAAAACAAAUUUCACAUGCUGAAUUUUUACCUUUUUUAAAGUGACUCCGAAUUUUGGCACCAGCAAUUAAUUCAACACUUGAAUAAGAUUUGAAAACCUCACAACAAAUCACAAAUAUAUUAUGGGUCCU
This 1094-nucleotide long non-coding RNA is filed under the name Homo sapiens (human). Its description in RNAcentral is "HSALNT0372252". Lineage: Eukaryota; Metazoa; Chordata; Mammalia; Primates; Hominidae. The record is from RNAcentral.